This 611-nucleotide ribosomal RNA is filed under the name uncultured Bacilli bacterium. RNAcentral describes it as "bacterial SSU rRNA". It matches the Rfam family "Bacterial small subunit ribosomal RNA", at positions 101 to 710 of the family's 1533-position model. Lineage: Bacteria; Bacillati; Bacillota; Bacilli. The record is from RNAcentral.
AACGGGUGAGUAACACGUGAGUAACCUGCCCCCUUCUUUGGGAUAACGCCCGGAAACGGGUGCUAAUACUGGAUAUUCACUGAUCUUCGCAUGGGGGUUGGUGGAAAGGUUUGUUCUGGUGGGGGAUGGGCUCGCGGCCUAUCAGCUUGUUGGUGGGGUGAUGGCCUACCAAGGCUUUGACGGGUAGCCGGCCUGAGAGGGUGACCGGUCACAUUGGGACUGAGAUACGGCCCAGACUCCUACGGGAGGCAGCAGUGGGGAAUAUUGCACAAUGGGCGAAAGCCUGAUGCAGCGACGCCGCGUGAGGGAUGGAGGCCUUCGGGUUGUAAACCUCUUUCGCUCAUGGUCAAGCCGCAACUGUGGGUUGUGGUGAGGGUAGUGGGUAAAGAAGCGCCGGCUAACUACGUGCCAGCAGCCGCGGUAAUACGUAGGGCGCGAGCGUUGUCCGGAAUUAUUGGGCGUAAAGGGCUUGUAGGCGGUUGGUCGCGUCUGCCGUGAAAUCCUCUGGCUUAACUGGGGGCGUGCGGUGGGUACGGGCUGACUUGAGUGCGGUAGGGGAGACUGGAACUCCUGGUGUAGCGGUGGAAUGCGCAGAUAUCAGGAAGAACACC